UCCUCUGUGGCUCAGUUGGUAGAGCAUGGCGCUCACAAAGCCAGGGUUUUGGGUUUGAUUCCUACAGAGGAA
This 72-nucleotide transfer RNA is filed under the name Salmo salar (Atlantic salmon). It matches the Rfam family "tRNA". From Rfam's summary of the family: Transfer RNA (tRNA) molecules are approximately 80 nucleotides in length. Their secondary structure includes four short double-helical elements and three loops (D, anti-codon, and T loops). Further hydrogen bonds mediate the characteristic L-shaped molecular structure. tRNAs have two regions of fundamental functional importance: the anti-codon, which is responsible for specific mRNA codon recognition, and the 3' end, to which the tRNAs corresponding amino acid is attached (by aminoacyl-tRNA synthetases). tRNAs cope with the degeneracy of the genetic code in two manners: having more than one tRNA (with a specific anti-codon) for a particular amino acid; and 'wobble' base-pairing, i.e. permitting non-standard base-pairing at the 3rd anti-codon position. The record is from Rfam by way of RNAcentral. Lineage: Eukaryota; Metazoa; Chordata; Actinopteri; Salmoniformes; Salmonidae.